Pelobates cultripes (western spadefoot toad) is the source of this 379-nucleotide non-coding RNA. Lineage: Eukaryota; Metazoa; Chordata; Amphibia; Anura; Pelobatidae. The record is from the annotation of a GenBank genome assembly.
UGUAGGUGGAAGCAGCAGUGGAGGAGGAGGAUGAGGUAGUCAACACUGUUUUAUAUAUAUAUAUAUAGAUAUAUAUAUAUAUAUAUUUUUUUUUUUUUUAUUGGGGUAGCCCCCAAAAUUUUGGGACAUAUCAAAAAAGACAACUCUGUUUUGCAGCGUAGCCGUUGACAUUAUAGUUGCACAGGCACUUUGUUGACUCUAGAGAACCUCGGGCCAAUUGCACAUCCCUGUGGUGGCGACUUUGCAUGCGGAUGUCAUCCAUAUCAACUUUCGAUGCCAGUUUCUGCGCCUACCAUGGUGACCAUGGGUAACAGGGAAUCAGGGUUCCAUUCCAUACAGGGACCCUGAGAAACGGCUACCACAUGCAAGAAAGGCAGCA